UCAGUCUUGCGACCGUACUCCCCAGGCGGCAAGCUUAACGGCUUCCCUGCGACACUCCGAUCGCGAUUUGCGACCGGAUCAUCUAGCUUGCAUCGUUUACGGCUGGGACUACCCGGGUAUCUAAUCCGGUUCGCUCCCCCAGCUUUCAUCCCUCACCGUCGAGCGCGUUCUGGUGGGCCGCCUUCGCCACUGGUGGUCUUCCACGGAUCAAAGGAUUUUACCCCUACACGUGGAGUACCGCCCACCUCUCCCGCCUCCUAGUCCUGCGGUAUCCCCUGCAGGCCAACGGUUAAGCCGUUGGAUUUAACAGGGGACCUACAGAACAGGCUACGGAUGCU
Molecule: ribosomal RNA, 338 nt
Filed under: uncultured archaeon
Lineage: Archaea
Description: partial 16S ribosomal RNA
Source: RNAcentral